CACCGCGGUUAUACGAGAGGCCCGAGUUGAUAGACACCGGCGUAAAAGGUGGUUAAGAUUAAAAUGAUACUAGGGCCAAACACCUUCCGAGCUGUUAUACGCACUCGAAGGCAGGAAGCACAACUACGAAAGUGGCCCUACACCCCCGAACCCACGAAAGCUAUGGUA
RNAcentral lists this ribosomal RNA (168 nucleotides) under Bembras japonica (red flathead). Its description in RNAcentral is "partial 12S ribosomal RNA". The record is from RNAcentral. Lineage: Eukaryota; Metazoa; Chordata; Actinopteri; Perciformes; Bembridae.